GCCGAGGUGGUGGAAUUGGCAGACGCGGUGGACUCAAAAUCCACUGAGGGUGAAACCUCGUGCGGGUUCAAGUCCCGCCCUCGGCACCA
RNAcentral lists this transfer RNA (89 nucleotides) under Marinitoga litoralis. Its description in RNAcentral is "tRNA-Leu". It matches the Rfam family "tRNA". From Rfam's summary of the family: Transfer RNA (tRNA) molecules are approximately 80 nucleotides in length. Their secondary structure includes four short double-helical elements and three loops (D, anti-codon, and T loops). Lineage: Bacteria; Thermotogati; Thermotogota; Thermotogae; Petrotogales; Petrotogaceae. RNAcentral also lists the same sequence under 1 other name. The record is from RNAcentral.